This 253-nucleotide ribosomal RNA is filed under the name uncultured bacterium. RNAcentral describes it as "partial 16S ribosomal RNA". It matches the Rfam family "Bacterial small subunit ribosomal RNA", at positions 524 to 776 of the family's 1533-position model. The record is from RNAcentral.
UACGGAGGGUGCAAGCGUUAUCCGGAUUCAUUGGGUUUAAAGGGUGCGUAGGCGGCGCGGAAAGUUGGGUGUGAAAUCCCUCGGCUCAACCGAGGAACUGCGCCCAAAACUACCGUGCUCGAGGAAGAUAGAGGUGAGCGGAACUUAGGGUGGAGCGGUGAAAUGCGUUGAUAUCCUAAGGAACACCGGUGGCGAAAGCGGCUCACUGGAUCUUUUCUGACGCUGAGGCACGAAAGCUAGGGUAGCGAACGGG